Molecule: ribosomal RNA, 522 nt
Filed under: Pseudomonas sp.
Lineage: Bacteria; Pseudomonadati; Pseudomonadota; Gammaproteobacteria; Pseudomonadales; Pseudomonadaceae
Description: bacterial SSU rRNA
Rfam family: Bacterial small subunit ribosomal RNA
Source: RNAcentral
UGCAGUCGAGCGGAUGACGGGAGCUUGCUCCCUGAUUCAGCGGCGGACGGGUGAGUAAUGCCUAGGAAUCUGCCUGGUAGUGGGGGACAACGUCUCGAAAGGGACGCUAAUACCGCAUACGUCCUACGGGAGAAAGCAGGGGACCUUCGGGCCUUGCGCUAUCAGAUGAGCCUAGGUCGGAUUAGCUAGUUGGUGAGGUAAUGGCUCACCAAGGCGACGAUCCGUAACUGGUCUGAGAGGAUGAUCAGUCACACUGGAACUGAGACACGGUCCAGACUCCUACGGGAGGCAGCAGUGGGGAAUAUUGGACAAUGGGCGAAAGCCUGAUCCAGCCAUGCCGCGUGUGUGAAGAAGGUCUUCGGAUUGUAAAGCACUUUAAGUUGGGAGGAAGGGCAUUAACCUAAUACGUUAGUGUUUUGACGUUACCGACAGAAUAAGCACCGGCUAACUCUGUGCCAGCAGCCGCGGUAAUACAGAGGGUGCAAGCGUUAAUCGGAAUUACUGGGCGUAAAGCGCGCGUAG